RNAcentral lists this ribosomal RNA (1310 nucleotides) under Enterococcus durans. Its description in RNAcentral is "bacterial SSU rRNA". It matches the Rfam family "Bacterial small subunit ribosomal RNA", at positions 141 to 1438 of the family's 1533-position model. Lineage: Bacteria; Bacillati; Bacillota; Bacilli; Lactobacillales; Enterococcaceae. The record is from RNAcentral.
GGAUAACACUUGGAAACAGGUGCUAAUACCGUAUAACAAUCGAAACCGCAUGGUUUUGAUUUGAAAGGCGCUUUCGGGUGUCNCUGAUGGAUGGACCCGCGGUGCAUUAGCUAGUUGGUGAGGUAACGGCUCACCAAGGCCACGAUGCAUAGCCGACCUGAGAGGGUGAUCGGCCACAUUGGGACUGAGACACGGCCCAAACUCCUACGGGAGGCAGCAGUAGGGAAUCUUCGGCAAUGGACGAAAGUCUGACCGAGCAACGCCGCGUGAGUGAAGAAGGUUUUCGGAUCGUAAAACUCUGUUGUUAGAGAAGAACAAGGAUGAGAGUAACUGUUCAUCCCUUGACGGUAUCUAACCAGAAAGCCACGGCUAACUACGUGCCAGCAGCCGCGGUAAUACGUAGGUGGCAAGCGUUGUCCGGAUUUAUUGGGCGUAAAGCGAGCGCAGGCGGUUUCUUAAGUCUGAUGUGAAAGCCCCCGGCUCAACNGGGGAGGGUCAUUGGAAACUGGGAGACUUGAGUGCAGAAGAGGAGAGUGGAAUUCCAUGUGUAGCGGUGAAAUGCGUAGAUAUAUGGAGGAACACCAGUGGCGAAGGCGACUCUCUGGUCUGUAACUGACGCUGAGGCUCGAAAGCGUGGGGAGCAAACAGGAUUAGAUACCCUGGUAGUCCACGCCGUAAACGAUGAGUGCUAAGUGUUGGAGGGUUUCCGCCCUUCAGUGCUGCAGCUAACGCAUUAAGCACUCCGCCNGGGGAGUACGACCGCAAGGUUGAAACUCAAAGGAAUUGACGGGGGCCCGCACAAGCGGUGGAGCAUGUGGUUUAAUUCGAAGCAACGCGAAGAACCUUACCAGGUCUUGACAUCCUUUGACCACUCUANANAUAGAGCUUCCCCUUCGGGGGCAAAGUGACAGGUGGUGCAUGGUUGUCGUCAGCUCGUGUCGUGAGAUGUUGGGUUAAGUCCCGCAACGAGCGCAACCCUUAUUGUUAGUUGCCAUCAUUUAGUUGGGCACUCUAGCAAGACUGCCGGUGACAAACCGGAGGAAGGUGGGGAUGACGUCAAAUCAUCAUGCCCCUUAUGACCUGGGCUACACACGUGCUACAAUGGGAAGUACAACGAGUCGCGAAGUCGCGAGGCUAAGCUAAUCUCUUAAAGCUUCUCUCAGUUCGGAUUGUAGGCUGCAACUCGCCUACAUGAAGCCGGAAUCGCUAGUAAUCGCGGAUCAGCACGCCGCGGUGAAUACGUUCCCGGGCCUUGUACACACCGCCCGUCACACCACGAAAGUUUGUAACACCCGAAGUCGGUGAGGUAA